GGGUCAGUAGGUUGGUCGUGCCACCGGUACGUACUGGUCUCACUGAUUCCUCCUUCCUGAAGAACCGUAAUGCCAUUAAUUUGGUGUUGCGGGGAAACAGGACUGUUACUUUGAAAAAAUGAGAGUGUUUAAAGCAGGCUAACGCUUGAAUACAUUAGCAUGGAAUAAUGAAAUAGGACGAUCGAUCCUAUUUUGUUGGUUUCUAGGAUUGACGUA
RNAcentral lists this ribosomal RNA (216 nucleotides) under Glomeromycotina sp. RNAcentral describes it as "partial small subunit ribosomal RNA". The stretch from base 40 to 216 matches the Rfam family "Eukaryotic small subunit ribosomal RNA", at positions 686 to 864 of the family's 1831-position model. Lineage: Eukaryota; Fungi; Glomeromycota. The record is from RNAcentral.